CGCCUCCUCGCCCUACCUCAGAGCGCCUCGCGUCUCCUCGCCCUACCUCAUAAUGCCUCACGCCUCCUCGCCCU
This is a non-coding RNA of Pangasianodon gigas (Mekong giant catfish), 74 nucleotides long. Lineage: Eukaryota; Metazoa; Chordata; Actinopteri; Siluriformes; Pangasiidae. The record is from the annotation of a GenBank genome assembly.